UGCAAGUCGAACGAACUUCCGUUAAUUGAUUAUGACGUGCUUGCACUGAAUGAGAUUUUAACACGAAGUGAGUGGCGGACGGGUGAGUAACACGUGGGUAACCUGCCCAGAAGCAGGGGAUAACACCUGGAAACAGAUGCUAAUACCGUAUAACAGAGAAAACCGCCUGGUUUUCUUUUAAAAGAUGGCUCUGCUAUCACUUCUGGAUGGACCCGCGGCGCAUUAGCUGGUUGGUGAGGUAACGGCUCACCAAGGCGAUGAUGCGUAGCCGACCUGAGAGGGUAAUCGGCCACAUUGGGACUGAGACACGGCCCAGACUCCUACGGGAGGCAGCAGUAGGGAAUCUUCCACAAUGGACGCAAGUCUGAUGGAGCAACGCCGCGUGAGUGAAGAAGGGUUUCGGCUCGUAAAGCUCUGUUGUUAAAGAAGAACGUGGGUGAGAGUAACUGUUCACCCAGUGACGGUAUUUAACCAGAAAGCCACGGCUAACUACGUGCCAGCAGCCGCGGUAAUACGUAGGUGGCAAGCGUUAUCCGGAUUUAUUGGGCGUAAAGCGAGCGCAGGCGGUCUUUUAAGUCUAAUGUGAAAGCCUUCGGCUCAACCGAAGAAGUGCAUUGGAAACUGGGAGACUUGAGUGCAGAAGAGGACAGUG
RNAcentral lists this ribosomal RNA (652 nucleotides) under Lactiplantibacillus plantarum. RNAcentral describes it as "bacterial SSU rRNA". It matches the Rfam family "Bacterial small subunit ribosomal RNA", at positions 56 to 663 of the family's 1533-position model. Lineage: Bacteria; Bacillati; Bacillota; Bacilli; Lactobacillales; Lactobacillaceae. The record is from RNAcentral.